Molecule: long non-coding RNA, 1858 nt
Filed under: Ficedula albicollis (Collared flycatcher)
Lineage: Eukaryota; Metazoa; Chordata; Aves; Passeriformes; Muscicapidae
Description: lncRNA (ENSFALG00000023679.1)
Source: RNAcentral
AAGCAGCUGAGGGUGGGGUCAGGCGGGAAAUCGAUCUUUCUAGAAGCAGGAAUGGGGAGAAUCCUGGAGGACGGGAAUGUCUGGAGGCUCGGGGUGGCUAUUCUGGGACUUUUCAGGGACUCUACAGCCCCUGAGCUUUUCACUGCUGGUUUGGCCUCCAAAUUUUUGGGUUUUUGGGGAGCAUCUGGCGAUCUGCUCCUCUGGCAGAGCUGCCGCCCAUCCCCACAACUUGGCGAAGGUGACAAAAAUCCCGUUGGGGUGGUUUGGGCGCCCUUGCUGUCGCAUCAGGGAUUUUACCCGCUGCGGAUCCAGGUGGCACCGAGGGCACCUCCAGCUCUUCCCAGCGGCUUUUUCCCCGCAUCCCUGGAGGGAGGGAAGGGCUGGAAGUAGGGCUCGGGCCCGCCUCCCCAGCUCGGCGGUGACGGGCACGGCGCUUUUCCCUCCCUGUCACUUCGCUCCCCUCCCUUUCAGCACCGCCACCGCGCUGUCACCGCCGGCAGCGGGGACUUUCCUCGGGCCCACCGGGGUCCCCGAGCUGUUACCGCGCCGCAAACACCGAGCACGAGGUUCCUCCUUGAUGGGAGGAACGAAAGGAGGAAUCCCUCCCACAUCCAGGAGAGAGCUCCUGCCUGGAUCCCAGCUGGGAAUGGGGAUUUGAUUCCUGCAUCCGCAGCCAGAGCCAUGGAAAAAAGGGAAUUAAUAAUCCAGCCGUGAUUCGAGGAGGGUGAGGAGGACAAAGGCACAGCCCAGCCCUGCAGGGACUCCUGGUGGGAUCCAGAAUUUCCCUCCUGACAGGAGCAAAUCCAGCCUGUCCUCAUUGCCACCCCAAAAAUCAGCCUGUCCCCAAAAACACCCCAAAUCCAGCUUGUCCUCAUUGCCACCCCAAAUCCAGCCUGUCCCCAAAAGCACCCCAAAUCCAGCUUGUCUUCAUUGUCACCCCAAAUCCAGCCUGUCCCCAUUGUCACCCCAAACCCAGCUUGUCCCCAUUGUCACCCCAAAAAUCAGUUUGUCCCCAAAAACACCCCAAAAAUUCGCCUGUCCCCAAAACCACCCGAAAUCCAGCCUGUCCCCACUGCUACCCCAAAUCCAGCCUGUCCCCAUUGUCACCACAAAAACAGCUUGUCCUCAUUACCACCCCAAAAAUCAGCCUGUCCCCAAAAACACCCCAAAUCCAGCUUGUCCUCAUUGCCACCCCAAAUCCAGCCUGUCCCCAAAAGCACCCCAAAUCCAGCUUGUCCUCAUUGCCACCCCAAAUCCAGCCUGUCCCCAAAAGCACCCCAAAUCCAGCUUGUCCUCAUUGCCACCCCAAAUCCAGCCUGUCCCCAAAAGCACCCCAAAUCCAGCUUGUCCUCAUUGCCACCCCAAAUCCAGCCUGUCCCCAAAAGCACCCCAAAUCCAGCUUGUCCUCAUUGCCACCCCAAAUCCAGCCUGUCCCCAAAAGCACCCCAAAACCACCCGAAACCCAGCCUGUCCCCACUGCUACCCCAAAUCCAGCCUGUCCCCAUUGUCACCACAAAAACAGCUUGUCCUCAUUACCACCCCAAAAAUCAACCUGUCCCCACUGUGACCCCAAACCAGCCUGUCCUUACUGCUGUCCCAAAUCCAGCCUGUCCUCAUUGUCACCCCAAAAAUCAGCCUGUCCCCAAAACCACCCCAAAUCCAGCCUGUCCCCACUGUGACCCCAAAUCCAGCCCGUCCCCAUCGCCACCCCAAAAAUCAGUUUGUCCCCACUGUGACCCCAAACCAGCCUGUCCCCUCCGCCAGCCCCGUGCUGUGACACCGGGGGCUGCCCCGGCCGUGUCCCCUCCCGCAGCUCCGGGCCGGGCGGGGGGGACACGAGCGGGAUCUCCGCUGCCUC